AGCGUACACGGUGGAUGCCCUGGCAGUCAGAGGCGAUGAAGGACGUGCUAAUCUGCGAAAAGCGUCGGUAAGGUGAUAUGAACCGUUAUAACCGGCGAUGUCCGAAUGGGGAAACCCAGUGCAAUUCGUUGCACUAUCGUUAACUGAAUACAUAGGUUAACGAGGCGAACCGGGGGAACUGAAACAUCUAAGUACCCCGAGGAAAAGAAAUCAACCGAGAUUCCCCCAGUAGCGGCGAGCGAACGGGGAGCAGCCCAGAGUCUGAAUCAGCUUGUGUGUUAGUGGAACGGUCUGGAAAGUCCGACGGUACAGGGUGAUAGUCCCGUACACCAAAAUGCACAGGUUGUGAACUCGAAGAGUAGGGCGGGACACGUGGUAUCCUGUCUGAAUAUGGGGGGACCAUCCUCCAAGGCUAAAUACUCCUGACUGACCGAUAGUGAACCAGUACCGUGAGGGAAAGGCGAAAAGAACCCCGGCGAGGGGAGUGAAAAAGAACCUGAAACCGUGUACGUACAAGCAGUGGGAGCACCUUCGGGUGUGACUGCGUACCUUUUGUAUAAUGGGUCAGCGACUUAUAUUCUGUAGCAAGGUUAACCGUAUAGGGGAGCCGCAGGGAAACCGAGUCUUAACUGGGCGUUAAGUUGCAGGGUAUAGACCCGAAACCCGGUGAUCUAGCCAUGGGCAGGUUGAAGGUUGGGUAACACUAACUGGAGGACCGAACCGACUAAUGUUGAAAAAUUAGCGGAUGACUUGUGGCUGGGGGUGAAAGGCCAAUCAAACCGGGAGAUAGCUGGUUCUCCCCGAAAGCUAUUUAGGUAGCGCCUCGUGAAUUCAUCUUCGGGGGUAGAGCACUGUUUCGGCUAGGGGGUCAUCCCGACUUACCAACCCGAUGCAAACUACGAAUACCGAAGAAUGUUAUCACGGGAGACACACGGCGGGUGCUAACGUCCGUCGUGAAGAGGGAAACAACCCAGACCGCCAGCUAAGGUCCCAAAGUCAUGGUUAAGUGGGAAACGAUGUGGGAAGGCACAGACAGCCAGGAUGUUGGCUUAGAAGCAGCCAUCAUUUAAAGAAAGCGUAAUAGCUCACUGGUCGAGUCGGCCUGCGCGGAAGAUGUAACGGGGCUAAACCAUGCACCGAAGCUGCGGCAGCGACACUAUGUGUUGUUGGGUAGGGGAGCGUUCUGUAAGCCUGCGAAGGUGACCUGUGAGGGUUGCUGGAGGUAUCAGAAGUGCGAAUGCUGACAUAAGUAACGAUAAAGCGGGUGAAAAGCCCGCUCGCCGGAAGACCAAGGGUUCCUGUCCAACGUUAAUCGGGGCAGGGUGAGUCGACCCCUAAGGCGAGGCCGAAAGGCGUAGUCGAUGGGAAACAGGUUAAUAUUCCUGUACUUGGUGUUACUGCGAAGGGGGGACGGAGAAGGCUAUGUUAGCCGGGCGACGGUUGUCCCGGUUUAAGCAUGUAGGCUGGUUAUCCAGGCAAAUCCGGAUAAUCAAGGCUGAGGUGUGAUGACGAGGCACUACGGUGCUGAAGUAACAAAUGCCCUGCUUCCAGGAAAAGCCUCUAAGCAUCAGGUAACAUCAAAUCGUACCCCAAACCGACACAGGUGGUCAGGUAGAGAAUACCAAGGCGCUUGAGAGAACUCGGGUGAAGGAACUAGGCAAAAUGGUGCCGUAACUUCGGGAGAAGGCACGCUGGUGUGUAGGUGAAGCCCCUGCGGGUGGAGCUGAGACCAGUCGAAGAUACCAGCUGGCUGCAACUGUUUAUUAAAAACACAGCACUGUGCAAACACGAAAGUGGACGUAUACGGUGUGACGCCUGCCCGGUGCCGGAAGGUUAAUUGAUGGGGUUAUCCGUAAGGAGAAGCUCUUGAUCGAAGCCCCGGUAAACGGCGGCCGUAACUAUAACGGUCCUAAGGUAGCGAAAUUCCUUGUCGGGUAAGUUCCGACCUGCACGAAUGGCGUAAUGAUGGCCAGGCUGUCUCCACCCGAGACUCAGUGAAAUUGAACUCGCUGUGAAGAUGCAGUGUACCCGCGGCAAGACGGAAAGACCCCGUGAACCUUUACUAUAGCUUGACACUGAACAUUGAGCCUUGAUGUGUAGGAUAGGUGGGAGGCUUUGAAGCGUGGACGCCAGUCUGCGUGGAGCCAACCUUGAAAUACCACCCUUUAAUGUUUGAUGUUCUAACGUUGGCCCCUGACCGGGGUUGCGGACAGUGUCUGGUGGGUAGUUUGACUGGGGCGGUCUCCUCCCAAAGCGUAACGGAGGAGCACGAAGGUUAGCUAAUCCUGGUCGGACAUCAGGAGGUUAGUGCAAUGGCAUAAGCUAGCUUGACUGCGAGCGUGACGGCGCGAGCAGGUGCGAAAGCAGGUCAUAGUGAUCCGGUGGUUCUGAAUGGAAGGGCCAUCGCUCAACGGAUAAAAGGUACUCCGGGGAUAACAGGCUGAUACCGCCCAAGAGUUCAUAUCGACGGCGGUGUUUGGCACCUCGAUGUCGGCUCAUCACAUCCUGGGGCUGAAGUAGGUCCCAAGGGUAUGGCUGUUCGCCAUUUAAAGUGGUACGCGAGCUGGGUUUAGAACGUCGUGAGACAGUUCGGUCCCUAUCUGCCGUGGGCGCUGGAGAAUUGAGGGGGGCUGCUCCUAGUACGAGAGGACCGGAGUGGACGCAUCACUGGUGUUCGGGUUGUCAUGCCAAUGGCACUGCCCGGUAGCUAAAUGCGGAAGAGAUAAGUGCUGAAAGCAUCUAAGCACGAAACUUGCCCCGAGAUGAGUUCU
This 2771-nucleotide ribosomal RNA is filed under the name Klebsiella pneumoniae. RNAcentral's name for it is "bacterial LSU rRNA". It matches the Rfam family "Bacterial large subunit ribosomal RNA". Lineage: Bacteria; Pseudomonadati; Pseudomonadota; Gammaproteobacteria; Enterobacterales; Enterobacteriaceae. The record is from RNAcentral.